Molecule: ribosomal RNA, 77 nt
Filed under: Rossellomorea marisflavi
Lineage: Bacteria; Bacillati; Bacillota; Bacilli; Caryophanales; Bacillaceae
Description: Bacillus marisflavi partial 23S ribosomal RNA
Source: RNAcentral
CAGGUAGAUAGGUCAGAGGUGGAAGUGUGGCGACACAUGGAGCUGACUGAUACUAAUCGAUCGAGGACUUAACCAAA